CACGUAGGGGGCGAGCGUUGUCCGGAUUUAUUGGGCGUAAAGAGCUCGUAGGCGGUUUCGUAAGUCGGAUGUGAAAACUCCAGGCUCAACUUGGAGACGCCAUUCGAUACUGCGAUGACUUGAGUCCGGUAGGGGAGUGUGGAAUUCCUGGUGUAGCGGUGAAAUGCGCAGAUAUCAGGAGGAACACCGGCGGCGAAGGCGGCAUCCUGGACCAAUACUGACACUGAGGAGCGAAAGCCAGGGGAGCAAACGGG
Molecule: ribosomal RNA, 254 nt
Filed under: uncultured bacterium
Lineage: Bacteria
Description: partial 16S ribosomal RNA
Rfam family: Bacterial small subunit ribosomal RNA
Source: RNAcentral